GUGCUCACUUUGGCAGCAUAUGUAUUAAAAUUGGAGUGAUACAGAGAAGAUUAGCAUGGCCCCCGUGUAAGGAUGACAUGGAAAUUUGUGAAGAGUCCAUAAUUUUU
Molecule: small nuclear RNA, 107 nt
Organism: Cricetulus griseus (Chinese hamster)
Lineage: Eukaryota; Metazoa; Chordata; Mammalia; Rodentia; Cricetidae
Source: Ensembl